This 806-nucleotide ribosomal RNA is filed under the name Shigella flexneri. Its description in RNAcentral is "partial 23S ribosomal RNA". It matches the Rfam family "Bacterial large subunit ribosomal RNA", at positions 2137 to 2925 of the family's 2925-position model. The record is from RNAcentral. Lineage: Bacteria; Pseudomonadati; Pseudomonadota; Gammaproteobacteria; Enterobacterales; Enterobacteriaceae.
UGUAGGAUAGGUGGGAGGCUUUGAAGUGUGGACGCCAGUCUGCAUGGAGCCGACCUUGAAAUACCACCCUUUAAUGUUUGAUGUUCUAACGUGGACCCGUGAUCCGGGUUGCGGACAGUGUCUGGUGGGUAGUUUGACUGGGGCGGUCUCCUCCUAAAGAGUAACGGAGGAGCACGAAGGUUGGCUAAUCCUGGUCGGACAUCAGGAGGUUAGUGCAAUGGCAUAAGCCAGCUUGACUGCGAGCGUGACGGCGCGAGCAGGUGCGAAAGCAGGUCAUAGUGAUCCGGUGGUUCUGAAUGGAAGGGCCAUCGCUCAACGGAUAAAAGGUACUCCGGGGAUAACAGGCUGAUACCGCCCAAGAGUUCAUAUCGACGGCGGUGUUUGGCACCUCGAUGUCGGCUCAUCACAUCCUGGGGCUGAAGUAGGUCCCAAGGGUAUGGCUGUUCGCCAUUUAAAGUGGUACGCGAGCUGGGUUUAGAACGUCGUGAGACAGUUCGGUCCCUAUCUGCCGUGGGCGCUGGAGAACUGAGGGGGGCUGCUCCUAGUACGAGAGGACCGGAGUGGACGCAUCACUGGUGUUCGGGUUGUCAUGCCAAUGGCACUGCCCGGUAGCUAAAUGCGGAAGAGAUAAGUGCUGAAAGCAUCUAAGCACGAAACUUGCCCCGAGAUGAGUUCUCCCUGACCCUUUAAGGGUCCUGAAGGAACGUUGAAGACGACGACGUUGAUAGGCCGGGUGUGUAAGCGCAGCGAUGCGUUGAGCUAACCGGUACUAAUGAACCGUGAGGCUUAACCUUACAACGCCGAAG